RNAcentral lists this long non-coding RNA (577 nucleotides) under Chinchilla lanigera (long-tailed chinchilla). RNAcentral's name for it is "lncRNA (ENSCLAG00000027335.1)". Lineage: Eukaryota; Metazoa; Chordata; Mammalia; Rodentia; Chinchillidae. The record is from RNAcentral.
AGAAGAAGAAAUAGAAGAAAAUGCCACACAGCUUCCUCUAGGACAGGCAGCUGCAUUAUCAGUCCUCUCUCCCUCUCUCCAUGACAGAAGUUCUCCACAUGUGGCCCGACUAGCAUCACCAGCAGAUUCUGGGGUCCCAUGCAGACCUGCUGCAUAACACAUAGUGGUGGGGUCCAGCUAUCUGUGGUACUAAUGGGCUUUCUGUGUCUAUGAUGCCAGUUUGGGAACCAUGGCCAGAGCAGUCUCACCUCAGGCUGUGCAUUGGAAUUGCCUCCUACUCUGUGGCCCCCAGGUUCCUUUAUUCUCAAUCACAUAUGGCAUCUCAAAGGAGUUCCACAGAAUACAGUUGUGGAACAUAGGCCCAGAGGGAGGUCUUCAGUGCCACAGGACUCUAUCCCAGGCCCAUCUAAUCAGACUACCUCACUGAUGACUUAGAAGACAUCCAUUGUCUACUGAUCAAAUCAGUGAGUUACACAAACCCUGGUGGGAGGAGGCUGGGUUGGGUAACAGGGUCAGUAAUGGUUGAUACAUUGUGUCAACUUGAGAAGUUUAGAAGUUUAACUAAGCAACUCAUCAG